CUUUGCUCAGUGCAGAACGUAAGCAGCUCUUGACAACAAAGGAGAGCAGUGUUUUCAAGCAUACUUCACACAACAUUUGACACCGCUCCCACUAACACAUCCAGAUCACUCUUUAAUUACACAGAACUCCAGGUAUUAACACUUGCCAGGUAAACUAGCUACUGUAUCUGGUGUUGGACAACAGGCCAGAGCACGAGCUGAAUUUGAAACCAAAGCAAGUUCUCACCCUCAUGCCAAGUACCAGGAAGCCAAUCUCCUCCAUCAGCGGGUACUUGCUGACCUGCUGCUGGAUCUUCUCUGCUGAAGCAUACGGAUCGUAACUUUUCUGCCCUAUUUUUACAUCCAUUAUGCACGGCUUGUUAAAUUUACGGGUCACGUCUUCCAGUUUCAGAUACGUAUCAUUUGGUGCAGUAGGUGGUGACCAGACACCGAAGUAUUUUGGCAGAUACUCUCUCAGCUCCAGAAGAACGCUGUCGCAACAGUCAGAGUCAUAAACCUUGUUGUAGAACUCCUGCUCCCUGGGACCUCGUGGCGGGGGCUGCAGCUGCUUCAGGACAGUCCCAUCUGGAUGCUGCAGUAUACCGCCUUUAUCCUUGCCGUACAUGUGCCCGGCCACCUGGUGCGACAGCGGCACGCAGCCGUUCAGCCCCCGCCGCCGGCCCCCCGCCGCCGCCGGCAGCACGGCCACCGCGGGGCCCGGGGCGGCGCCUCCCGCCUGCUGGGCCGCGGCCUCCUCCGCCUCGCCGCGCCCGCCGCCCGCGCAGCGCCCGCACCCGCCCUCGGGGUGCCCGGCCGCGGGCGGCGCCGGCCGCGGGGGCUCCGUGGCCAUUUCCCGAGGGGGAAGCGAGCGGCUGCGGCGUUGCGGCGGGCGGGGCUCAGCGGGCGCCGCGUGCUGGGGCGCGAGCGGCGAGGGCCCACGGCUCCAUCACCCCGCUCUGCUCCGUGCGAGCCGUGCCGUGCCUAGCCGAGCCGAGCCG
RNAcentral lists this long non-coding RNA (977 nucleotides) under Gallus gallus (chicken). Lineage: Eukaryota; Metazoa; Chordata; Aves; Galliformes; Phasianidae. The record is from RNAcentral.